AGUGAACGCUGGCGGUAGGCCUAACACAUGCAAGUCGAACGGCAGCACAGUAAGAGCUUGCUCUUACGGGUGGCGAGUGGCGGACGGGUGAGGAAUACAUCGGAAUCUACUUUUUCGUGGGGGAUAACGUAGGGAAACUUACGCUAAUACCGCAUACGACCUACGGGUGGAAGCAGGGGAUCUUCGGACCUUGCGCGAUUGAAUGAGCCGAUGUCGGAUUAGCUAGUUGGCGGGGUAAAGGCCCACCAAGGCGACGAUCCGUAGCUGGUCUGAGAGGAUGAUCAGCCACACUGGAACUGAGACACGGUCCAGACUCCUACGGGAGGCAGCAGUGGGGAAUAUUGGACAAUGGGCGCAAGCCUGAUCCAGCCAUACCGCGUGGGUGAAGAAGGCCUUCGGGUUGUAAAGCCCUUUUGUUGGGAAAGAAAAGCAGCAGGUUAAUACCCCGCUGUUCCGACGGUACCCAAAGAAUAAGCACCGGCUAACUUCGUG
Molecule: ribosomal RNA, 492 nt
Filed under: uncultured bacterium
Lineage: Bacteria
Description: partial 16S ribosomal RNA
Rfam family: Bacterial small subunit ribosomal RNA
Source: RNAcentral